This 496-nucleotide ribosomal RNA is filed under the name uncultured bacterium. Its description in RNAcentral is "partial 16S ribosomal RNA". It matches the Rfam family "Bacterial small subunit ribosomal RNA", at positions 28 to 523 of the family's 1533-position model. The record is from RNAcentral.
GAUGAACGCUAGCGGCAGGCCUAAUACAUGCAAGUCGAGGGGUAGAAGAGGCUUGCUUCUUUGAGACCGGCGCACGGGUGCGUAACGCGUAUGCAACCUACCUUCAUCUGGGGGAUAGCCCGGAGAAAUCCGGAUUAAUACCGCAUAAAAUCACAGGAUGGCAUUAUCCAAUGAUCAAACAUUUAUGGGAUGGAGAUGGGCAUGCGUGUCAUUAGCUAGUUGGCGGGGUAACGGCCCACCAAGGCGACGAUGACUAGGGGAUCUGAGAGGAUGGCCCCCCAAACUGGUACAGAGACACGGACCAACCUCCUACGGGAGGCAGCAGUAAGGAAUAUUGGUCAAUGGAGGCAACUCUGAACCAGCCAUGCCGCGUGCAGGAAGACUGCCCUAUGGGUUGUAAACUGCUUUUAUUCGGGAAUAAACCUUAUUACGUGUAAUAAGCUGAAUGUACCGAAGGAAUAAGGAUCGGCUAACUCCGUGCCAGCAGCCGCCGUAA